AUUUGUUUCCCCAUGUUCCGUGUCCGUUCCCGUGUCGCGUUUCUGUGCAUGGCCGUGUCAGCGCUCCUCCUCUUUCCUCUCUGCCUCGCUCGCGCCAUCUCUCUUUUUCUCUGUUCACCUCAUCUCUUUCUCGCACCUUUCUCCUCCUAUACCUUAUUCAUUCUUGCUCCUCUCUGAAAUCGGAAAUUUUGGAGGAUUUUUGUUAUUCGUAAAAUUAGGGUUUCUGGAUACUAAAUUAAAAGGAUGAUUCAAGGUGUGUUCGACAUGCAGACGAAAUUCGAGGGAUGUAAUUCAUCUGAUCUGCAAGCAUCUGGAGCUUUUUCGUAUAUGUUAAGCAAAUAUUACAAAGAACAAUUUACAUCCACUUCUACUAUCUGCUGAGUCAGAACAUAGGGUACUUAUCGCCAUCCUAAGUUACUUGAAACUCAGAUAACGAACUUGAUAUAUGUUCGGUUCAGGAUAUCUAGGGAAGUGUCGGUUACUAUAGGGGAAAUCAAUAAUCAUAUGAUAUCUGCUGCUCAAGAAUCAAUUUAUUUUUGUGCUCAAGAAUCACUGAUCUUCACUUUUCUAAAAUCAUGGAAAUCAAGAAGCUAUUAUCUGUAUAUGCGAGGCUGGACCUAUGUCAUUUUUUGGGUCAAAGUUUAGGAGAGGGGUAUUAUUAUUGUCCAAAGACAAAGAAAACAGAAGAUAAGACGAACUGGGACUAAGGCUGCAAAUUUUUUUGGGCAAGUGAUCUUCGGUUACGUCCAUGUGGUCAAGGUGCCUAUUGUGUACUUACGAAGUAAGGUCAAGGCAGAAAAAAAUACAAGUGAUCUCGAGGGGUAUGUGAAGCAACUUUUCCGCUUCGUUUUUGGCUAAAGUUGUAUUUAGGCUCCAUUAGAUAGGGUGUAGAAUAUUUUAUAUGUAAACGAGUUUUCCUUUUCCUCUCAUA
Molecule: long non-coding RNA, 931 nt
Organism: Beta vulgaris subsp. vulgaris (sugar beet)
Lineage: Eukaryota; Viridiplantae; Streptophyta; Magnoliopsida; Caryophyllales; Amaranthaceae
Exons: 4
Source: RefSeq, a predicted model, not a curated record